UCCCGGCCCCGCGGGGUCGGGCGCACCACCGGCCCGUCUCGCCCGCACCGUCGGGGAGGUGGAGCGUGAGCGCGUGCGAUAGGACCCGAAAGAUGGUGAACUAUGCCUGGGCAGGGC
This 117-nucleotide ribosomal RNA is filed under the name Chelidonichthys lucerna (tub gurnard). RNAcentral describes it as "partial 28S ribosomal RNA". The record is from RNAcentral. Lineage: Eukaryota; Metazoa; Chordata; Actinopteri; Perciformes; Triglidae.